Molecule: non-coding RNA, 33 nt
Filed under: Mus musculus (house mouse)
Lineage: Eukaryota; Metazoa; Chordata; Mammalia; Rodentia; Muridae
Source: RNAcentral
UUAGCAGCUCAUGGAGCGCCGAAAAAAUUGGGU